AGUCGUAACACGGUCACCGUAGGGGAACCUGCGGUUGGAUCACCUCCUUACCUUAAAGAA
This 60-nucleotide ribosomal RNA is filed under the name Klebsiella pneumoniae. RNAcentral describes it as "partial 16S ribosomal RNA". Lineage: Bacteria; Pseudomonadati; Pseudomonadota; Gammaproteobacteria; Enterobacterales; Enterobacteriaceae. The record is from RNAcentral.